Diaporthe citri is the source of this 92-nucleotide non-coding RNA. Lineage: Eukaryota; Fungi; Ascomycota; Sordariomycetes; Diaporthales; Diaporthaceae. The record is from the annotation of a RefSeq genome assembly.
GGGCGUCUAGCUCAAAUGGUAGAGCGCGCGCUUAGCACCUCCAAUCUUCUUGGAACUGCGCGAGGUACACGGUUCGAUCCCGUGGUCGUCCA